This 19-nucleotide unclassified non-coding RNA is filed under the name Mus musculus (house mouse). Its description in RNAcentral is "oocyte_clustered_small_RNA6254". The record is from RNAcentral. Lineage: Eukaryota; Metazoa; Chordata; Mammalia; Rodentia; Muridae.
AUGGCACCCUGAUCUUGAG